RNAcentral lists this ribosomal RNA (718 nucleotides) under Vibrio sp. KR04-92. Its description in RNAcentral is "bacterial SSU rRNA". It matches the Rfam family "Bacterial small subunit ribosomal RNA", at positions 106 to 820 of the family's 1533-position model. Lineage: Bacteria; Pseudomonadati; Pseudomonadota; Gammaproteobacteria; Vibrionales; Vibrionaceae. The record is from RNAcentral.
GUGAGUAAUGCCUGGGAAUAUGCCUUGAUGUGGGGGAUAACCAUUGGAAACGAUGGCUAAUACCGCAUAAUGCCUACGGGCCAAAGAGGGGGAUCUUCGGACCUCUCGCGUCAAGAUUAGCCCAGGUGGGAUUAGCUAGUUGGUGAGGUAAUGGCUCACCAAGGCGACGAUCCCUAGCUGGUCUGAGAGGAUGAUCAGCCACACUGGAACUGAGACACGGUCCAGACUCCUACGGGAGGCAGCAGUGGGGAAUAUUGCACAAUGGGCGCAAGCCUGAUGCAGCCAUGCCGCGUGUGUGAAGAAGGCCUUCGGGUUGUAAAGCACUUUCAGUCGUGAGGAAGGUUNNNNNGNUAAUAGCGUAUGGAUUUGACGUUAGCGACAGAAGAAGCACCGGCUAACUCCGUGCCAGCAGCCGCGGUAAUACGGAGGGUGCGAGCGUUAAUCGGAAUUACUGGGCGUAAAGCGCAUGCAGGUGGUUCGUUAAGUCAGAUGUGAAAGCCCGGGGCUCAACCUCGGAACUGCAUUUGAAACUGGCGGACUAGAGUACUGUAGAGGGGGGUAGAAUUUCAGGUGUAGCGGUGAAAUGCGUANAGAUCUGAAGGAAUACCGGUGGCGAAGGCGGCCCCCUGGACAGAUACUGACACUCANAUGCGAAAGCGUGGGGAGCAAACAGGAUUANAUACCCUGGNAGUCCACGCCGUAAACGAUGUCUACUUGG